AUUGAGACGGUAACUGCUGCGUCCACUAUGACGUGUUCUGUUCGGAGGCCUCGAUUCCAAUUCGAAGGUUUCGGAAUCUGAAAUGGCGGCGGCGGCGGUGCGGGCGGCGGAGGAGCUUGCGGAGAGGGAGAUGGCGGGGCGCGACGCCUCCCACGACGCCGCCCACGCCCUCCGCGUCCGCGACCUCGCGCUCUCCCUCGCCGCCGAGCUCGGCCUCUCCUCCUCCCCCGACCGCCUCCUCAUCGUGGAGAUAGCCGCGCUCCUGCAUGACAUCGGUGAUUACAAGUACACCAAGGACAAUGCUGAGGAUAUGAGCAUCGUGGAGAGGUUUCUUGAAGAGGUGGAACUGGAGCAGGGCCAGAGGGAGGAAAUUGUGGCGAUCAUUAAGGGGAUGGGAUUCAAAAAUGAAGUUUCAAAGAAGUCUGUUGUUGAGCCUACUCUUGAGUUUGCAAUUGUACAAGAUGCAGAUCGUCUUGAUGCAAUUGGUGCAAUUGGUAUUGCAAGAUGUUUUACGUAUGGUGGGAGCAAGAAAAACACAUUGCAUGAUCCUAAGAUACUGCCGCGUGAUAAUUUGUCAAAGGAGAAAUACAUGUCCAAGGAUGAAAAACAGACAUCAAUUAAUCAUUUCCAUGAGAAGCUAUUUAAGUUGAAGGACAUGAUGAAGACAGAGGCCGGGAAAAAGAGAGCAGAGAAAAGGCACAAGUUCAUGGAGGACUUUGUGGCUGAAUUCUAUGAAGAGUGGAGUGGCAGAGCUUGAAGUUGACCAACCAGGUUAUGGGCUGUUGGUCUGUGGCAUAGCUUGAAGUUGGCCAACCAACAACAACUCAUAUUGCUAGUCGUCUACUUGGUGACAUUAGCAUGUUUUGUUGCUGAUAUGUUAAGCCAUGCAAAAAAACGAGGGAUAAAGCACACUUGAGUGGCCAAACCACUGAAUAAUGCUCCUCAACAGGCACCACACUUGGCUACAGUACAUAUUGCUAUUUGGACAAAAAGGAAACAGAUCAAAUACUAGUACAUAACAGCAAACUUCAAAUGAAGAAACAAAUGCAGAAGAAAGCUUUGCACAGUGCACACGCAUCAUCUGCUUCACCGACCACAUCUGGAAGCCACCAUUGCUUCCAUCAUGUCCUCCAUACUUUUUUUUCCCCAAACCAUGAGCCUUAUUGCCAAAGCUGUUUAACAACUUGGUUUCAAAGCUUGCUCUUGUCCCUCUUGGUCAGCUUCACCUUGAGCCCAUGCUUCAUGUACAUGGUGAGCGCCAUCUUGGGCGCCACUGGGUGGCCGUCGACGACGCGGACGUGGUAACGGCGGAGGAUGGAGGCCGCGGCAAACUUCAUCUGGUAGUAGGCGAAGUCCUUGCCGAGGCACAGACGAGGGCCGCCGUUGAAGGCGGUGAACUUGUAGGCCGAUUCGCCCAUGAAGCGGCCGUCUCUGAGCCACCUCUCCGGCUUGUACUCCCUGCAGUCCUCCCCCCAGAUGCUCUCCAUCCUGCCCAUGGUGUACAUGGCAUAGAUCACCUUUGUCCCCUUCUUCAGCACCGUCCCGUCCGGGAACACCUCGUCCUCCACAACCUGACAACAGGCCAUGAGAAAUGUUAAGCCUGAAGAUUAGCUCAUCUGUUUUUUUUUUCUUAAAAAAAAUUGGGUGUCACAAUCUUUAUGGCUCAAAACUUAAAGGAGGAUUUAAUUUGCUGACAAAUAGGUUGUCAUUGGAUUUAAUUUGCUACUAUUGAUUUCCUCUGGCCUGAUAGUUUGGUAGGUGAUCUGAUGCAAAAGAUGUUUGAAAUUAUCUGAUCCGGCAGUAAGUUAUAAGUUGUACUUUUAGGAUCUGUAUAACCAUUAAUCAAGAUAAAGAGUACCCUUUUGUUGUCAAUCCACUUUGCAAACCUACAUGUAAACUAAAAACAGAUGCAUUGGUGCAACUACAUCUGGAACUGUCUUCAACAUGUCUCUAUCAUGCUGAAGAAGAGUUUCAUAAGUCUUCACCAAGAUAUCCAAAAACAUGUAGUAGAUGGCCAACUUGCAACCUAUGCAUUCUCUUCUUCUUUUUUUAAUAUGGCACAUCAACUUCAAGAUGCAAGGUCCAAUGCUUGUUGAGCCUGCAUGCUCAACUGCGCAUGCAUCAUGACUUCUGUGCAGGGGUCAGCUGGUUCAUCAACUUCAGUAACACUCAACCUCAAUAUCUACAGCCUAGCACUGCAGUAGUAACUUCCUUGUAAUUUGUAAAUGCUUUACUACCAUUGAUUUUAAGAACUGGGCUCUAGAUGGAGAACUUAACUAUAAAUUACUAGUCAAUUGUCCUUUUGUUCUUUACAUCUACUCCACUAUUUCCUCCAAUGUGCAAAUCUCACUCCUGAGCUGGCUACCAGUAACCGGCAUACCGGUCAGAACAAUUUGAAUUGAAACCUACAAUUUAGAAUUCGAA
Molecule: RNA transcript, 2424 nt
Organism: Oryza sativa Japonica Group (Japanese rice)
Lineage: Eukaryota; Viridiplantae; Streptophyta; Magnoliopsida; Poales; Poaceae
Source: RefSeq, a predicted model, not a curated record